RNAcentral lists this ribosomal RNA (1464 nucleotides) under Lactiplantibacillus plantarum. Its description in RNAcentral is "bacterial SSU rRNA". It matches the Rfam family "Bacterial small subunit ribosomal RNA". Lineage: Bacteria; Bacillati; Bacillota; Bacilli; Lactobacillales; Lactobacillaceae. The record is from RNAcentral.
CGGGGGGGCGUGCCUUAAUACAUGCAAGUCGAACGAACUCUGGUAUUGAUUGGUGCUUGCAUCAUGAUUUACAUUUGAGUGAGUGGCGAACUGGUGAGUAACACGUGGGAAACCUGCCCAGAAGCGGGGGAUAACACCUGGAAACAGAUGCUAAUACCGCAUAACAACUUGGACCGCAUGGUCCGAGUUUGAAAGAUGGCUUCGGCUAUCACUUUUGGAUGGUCCCGCGGCGUAUUAGCUAGAUGGUGGGGUAACGGCUCACCAUGGCAAUGAUACGUAGCCGACCUGAGAGGGUAAUCGGCCACAUUGGGACUGAGACACGGCCCAAACUCCUACGGGAGGCAGCAGUAGGGAAUCUUCCACAAUGGACGAAAGUCUGAUGGAGCAACGCCGCGUGAGUGAAGAAGGGUUUCGGCUCGUAAAACUCUGUUGUUAAAGAAGAACAUAUCUGAGAGUAACUGUUCAGGUAUUGACGGUAUUUAACCAGAAAGCCACGGCUAACUACGUGCCAGCAGCCGCGGUAAUACGUAGGUGGCAAGCGUUGUCCGGAUUUAUUGGGCGUAAAGCGAGCGCAGGCGGUUUUUUAAGUCUGAUGUGAAAGCCUUCGGCUCAACCGAAGAAGUGCAUCGGAAACUGGGAAACUUGAGUGCAGAAGAGGACAGUGGAACUCCAUGUGUAGCGGUGAAAUGCGUAGAUAUAUGGAAGAACACCAGUGGCGAAGGCGGCUGUCUGGUCUGUAACUGACGCUGAGGCUCGAAAGUAUGGGUAGCAAACAGGAUUAGAUACCCUGGUAGUCCAUACCGUAAACGAUGAAUGCUAAGUGUUGGAGGGUUUCCGCCCUUCAGUGCUGCAGCUAACGCAUUAAGCAUUCCGCCUGGGGAGUACGGCCGCAAGGCUGAAACUCAAAGGAAUUGACGGGGGCCCGCACAAGCGGUGGAGCAUGUGGUUUAAUUCGAAGCUACGCGAAGAACCUUACCAGGUCUUGACAUACUAUGCAAAUCUAAGAGAUUAGACGUUCCCUUCGGGGACAUGGAUACAGGUGGUGCAUGGUUGUCGUCAGCUCGUGUCGUGAGAUGUUGGGUUAAGUCCCGCAACGAGCGCAACCCUUAUUAUCAGUUGCCAGCAUUAAGUUGGGCACUCUGGUGAGACUGCCGGUGACAAACCGGAGGAAGGUGGGGAUGACGUCAAAUCAUCAUGCCCCUUAUGACCUGGGCUACACACGUGCUACAAUGGAUGGUACAACGAGUUGCGAACUCGCGAGAGUAAGCUAAUCUCUUAAAGCCAUUCUCAGUUCGGAUUGUAGGCUGCAACUCGCCUACAUGAAGUCGGAAUCGCUAGUAAUCGCGGAUCAGCAUGCCGCGGUGAAUACGUUCCCGGGCCUUGUACACACCGCCCGUCACACCAUGAGAGUUUGUAACACCCAAAGUCGGUGGGGUAACCUUUUAGGUACCCCACCCCAGCCAU